GACGAAGGAUGCAAGCGUUAUCCGGAUUCAUUGGGUUUAAAGGGUGCGUAGGUGGUCUUAUAAGUCAGUGGUGAAAUCUCUGGGCUUAACCCAGAAAUUGCCAUUGAUACUGUAGGACUUGAGUAUAGUUGCCGUUGGCGGAAUAUGACAUGUAGUGGUGAAAUGCAUAGAGAUGUCAUAGAACACCGAUUGCGAAGGCAGGUAACGAAACUAUAACUGACACUGAGGCGCGAAAGCGUGGGGAGCAAACAGG
This 253-nucleotide ribosomal RNA is filed under the name uncultured bacterium. RNAcentral's name for it is "partial 16S ribosomal RNA". It matches the Rfam family "Bacterial small subunit ribosomal RNA", at positions 524 to 776 of the family's 1533-position model. The record is from RNAcentral.